GUGAACGCUGGCGGUAGGCCUAACACAUGCCAGUCGCACGGCAGCACAGUAAGAGCUUGCUCUUACGGGUGGCGAGUGGCGGACGGGUGAGGAAUACAUCGGAAUCUACUUUUUCGUGGGGGAUAACGUAGGGAAACUUACGCUAAUACCGCAUACGACCUACGGGUGAAAGCAGGGGAUCUUCGGACCUUGCGCGAUUGAAUGAGCCGAUGUCGGAUUAGCUAGUUGGCGGGGUAAAGGCCCACCAAGGCGACGAUCCGUAGCUGGUCUGAGAGGAUGAUCAGCCACACUGGAACUGAGACACGGUCCAGACUCCUACGGGAGGCAGCAGUGGGGAAUAUUGGACAAUGGGCGCAAGCCUGAUCCAGCUAUACCGCGUGGGUGAAGAAGGCCUUCGGGUUGUAAAGCCCUUUUGUUGGGAAAGAAAAGCAGCAGGUUAAUACCCCGCUGUUCUGACGGUACCCAAAGAAUAAGCACCGGCUAACUUCGUG
Molecule: ribosomal RNA, 491 nt
Filed under: uncultured bacterium
Lineage: Bacteria
Description: partial 16S ribosomal RNA
Rfam family: Bacterial small subunit ribosomal RNA
Source: RNAcentral